UGGGCCCAAUUGGUUUAUGCAAAAUAUAGAUUUGAUGGUUUUUGGCUUUCUCAUAGGAUGCAAAGAGGUUGCUCUCCUAUAUGGAAUAAGCUAUGUAUUAAAAUUGUCAGAAUCUUAUCUAUUAUAAAAUCUUGAAUAUCACGGCUCUUCUAUAUAUUGCUUGCAGAAUCUUGACUUAUCAACCCGUUAUAGAAUCUUGGAUAUUGGUGC
This 210-nucleotide long non-coding RNA is filed under the name Elaeis guineensis (African oil palm). RNAcentral's name for it is "long non-coding RNA (EGUI_LNC032984)". Lineage: Eukaryota; Viridiplantae; Streptophyta; Magnoliopsida; Arecales; Arecaceae. The record is from RNAcentral.